This is a long non-coding RNA of Dermochelys coriacea (leatherback sea turtle), 295 nucleotides long. RefSeq lists it as uncharacterized. The transcript is spliced from 3 exons. Lineage: Eukaryota; Metazoa; Chordata; Testudines; Dermochelyidae. The record is from RefSeq and is a predicted model, not a curated record.
UCCCAGCAGCUCCUCGGGGCCCUGGUCGGCCAGCAGCCCAAGUAGCUCUGGAAUGUACAGAUACCAGAUAAGAAAAGGCUAAAUAUUUCUGGAUUGGGUUAAACGGAGAUGGAGAAAAGACGGAUUUGGCUUGAUGACUCCCAAUGAAAAGGAUAUAGGUUGGCAUUAAGAGGAAAUGCAGAUGGCAAGAAUUGUGCUGCUUUCUAAAGGAAGGAGAAGAUCCUCCAUGAUAGCUGCCAUUUUAAAUGGAUGGAUCUUCAAGAAACAAUGCAACCCUGCUGGCUGGCUGAGACCC